UAUCUUCUUCUUCCUUGUGGGACUCACUGC
This 30-nucleotide non-coding RNA is filed under the name Homo sapiens (human). The record is from RNAcentral. Lineage: Eukaryota; Metazoa; Chordata; Mammalia; Primates; Hominidae.